This 475-nucleotide ribosomal RNA is filed under the name uncultured bacterium. RNAcentral describes it as "partial 16S ribosomal RNA". The record is from RNAcentral.
AUGCAGUCGAGCGGAUGAGKGGAGCUUGCUCCMKGAUUCAGCGGCGGACGGGUGAGUAAUGCCUAGGAAUCUGCCUGRUAGUGGGGGACAACGUUUCGAAAGGAACGCUAAUACCGCAUACGUCCUACGGGAGAAAGCAGGGGACCUUCGGGCCUUGCGCUAUCAGAUGAGCCUAGGUCGGAUUAGCUGGUUGGUGAGGUAAUGGCUCACCAAGGCGACGAUCCGUAACUGGUCUGAGAGGAUGAUCAGUCACACUGGAACUGAGACACGGUCCAGACUCCUACGGGAGGCAGCAGUGGGGAAUAUUGGACAAUGGGCGAAAGCCUGAUCCAGCCAUGCCGCGUGUGUGAAGAAGGUCUUCGGAUUGUAAAGCACUUUAAGUUGGGAGGAAGGGCRKUAASCUAAUACCUUGSUGUYUUGACGUUACCGACAGAAUAAGCACCGGCUAACUUCGUGCCAGCAGCCGMGGUAAWYA